This 292-nucleotide ribosomal RNA is filed under the name uncultured bacterium. RNAcentral describes it as "partial 16S ribosomal RNA". It matches the Rfam family "Bacterial small subunit ribosomal RNA", at positions 505 to 796 of the family's 1533-position model. The record is from RNAcentral.
GUGUCAGCAGCCGCGGUAAAACGUAGGACGCAAGCGUUAUCCGGAGUUACUGGGCGUAAAGCGCGGGCAGGCGGUCUUGCCAGUCUGAUGUGAAAUCUCUCCGCUCAACGGGGAGCAGCCAUUGGAAACUACAAGACUGGAGUCUGACAGAGGUAGGCGGAAUUCCGGGUGGAGUGGUGAAAUGCGUAGAGAUCCGGAGGAACACCAGAGGCGAAGGCGGCCUACUGGGUCAGUACUGACGCUGAGCCGCGAAAGCCAGGGGAGCGAACGGGAUUAGAAACCCCCGUAGUCC